Molecule: ribosomal RNA, 779 nt
Filed under: uncultured Neocallimastigales
Lineage: Eukaryota; Fungi; Neocallimastigomycota; Neocallimastigomycetes; Neocallimastigales
Description: partial large subunit ribosomal RNA
Rfam family: Eukaryotic large subunit ribosomal RNA
Source: RNAcentral
CGCAUCUGUGCAUGCAGCAUAUCAAUAAGCGGAGGAAAAGAAACUAACAAGGAUUCCCUCAGUAACGGCGAGUGAAGCGGGAAGAGCUCAAAUUUGAAAUCUUGCAAGGUUUCACCUUUCACGAAUUGUAGUUUAAAGAAGUGUUUUCUGUACUGAAUUUGGUAAAUAAGUUCUUUGGAAUAGGACAUCAUAGAGGGUGAGAAUCCCGUCUAUUGAUGCCGAUUAUUGUCAGCUUUGUGAUACACUUUCAAAGAGUCGGGUUGUUUGGGAAUGCAGCCCAAAACGGGAGGUAAAUUUCUUCUAAGGCUAAAUAUUGGCGAGAGACCGAUAGCGAACAAGUACCGUGAGGGAAAGAUGAAAAGAACUUUGAAAAGAGAGUUAAAUAGUACGUGAAAUUGUCAAAAGGGAAGCGUUUAACACCAGUGUUGUUUUCUGAAAAUCAACCUCUGUUAGCUUUAUGCAUGUUUGUUUAGACCUAAUCAGCUAUCUUGCAUGUUCUAUUGUUUGCAGUGGUGCACUUUUCAGUUUACAGGUCAACAUCAGUUUUUUUUACCGUAAAAAAGUUAAAGAAAGGUAGCUCAUGGCUCCGGUCGUGAGUGUUAUAGUCUUUUUCCUAUGCGGUAGGAGAGACUGAGGUCUGCAGUGUAGGCUAUUUGGCUAGAUACUCAGGUGCUAUGUGAUACCAUUUCAUAAACAACUUGUUGAUUAUGUUUUGUCUAUUGCAUACUCGCUUGUACUAUCAUACCUACGCUUAGGAUGUUGACGAUCAGCUGAGCGCG